This is a non-coding RNA of Lupinus angustifolius (narrow-leaved blue lupine), 193 nucleotides long. The record is from Rfam. Lineage: Eukaryota; Viridiplantae; Streptophyta; Magnoliopsida; Fabales; Fabaceae.
UUUUAUGGAGUAGAGCUCCUUGAAGUCCAAUGGAGGAUCUUGCAAGGUUGAUUAUGCUGCUAUGCUAUGGAUCCCAUAGUUCUACCCAAAUAACAUUCUUUUGGGGUAGUUCUACGGCUUCCAUAUCUUGGGAGCUUCAUUACCUAUAGUUAGAUCCUUAUUUGGAUUGAAGGGAGCUCUACACUUUUCUCCU